Molecule: long non-coding RNA, 758 nt
Filed under: Falco tinnunculus (common kestrel)
Lineage: Eukaryota; Metazoa; Chordata; Aves; Falconiformes; Falconidae
Description: lncRNA (ENSFTIG00000006846.1)
Source: RNAcentral
AUCCUGGGGCCCUCUGGCCAGAGUUUUUUCUGAACUAGAAGCUGGGGCUUUUUGAAAGGCUGUGAGGUCAGCUUUGUUGCAAAAAGUUUGCUCAGGCUCUUUUCAGUUAAUUGCUGAUUUCAGACCUCAGCUGUACAUUUUGAGCCCAAACUAAGCUCCUACCUGUAAACACGCUUAACAAACCUGAUCAAAACCUUUAUUAAUUUAUCUAUCUAUUUAUUUAUUUAUCUUUUCCCCUGCAGCGGAAGGCUGAGGAGCGGGGCCGAGGGCAAGGGCAGCGCAGCUCAAGGGAAGCAGAACGGGCCCGCCGAGCCGCAGCCGAGCGCAUCAGCCAGACCCUGCGGCUCCCCGCGCCCGCCCAGCAGCCUCAAAGGGGACGCACCCUGCGCCUCGGCGCUGCUGGAAGGCGGGCUGCCUCGCCGCUUGCGACACGCGUCCGACUCAGCUGCUCCCUCGCCGUGCCGGUGAGCCCCGGGACUGCCCUGGGACUGCCCCGGCCCUACCCCGGCGCUACCCGCGCAGCUGCCCGGGAGCGGCGUGGGGCGGUGGCGGGAGCCCCGCCCCGGCCCGGCCCGCCUGCCGCAGGGCAGGGGGCAGGGGGCAGGUUGAGAGCACGGGGAGCAACAGCCGAAGGGACAUCACUGGCUGGCUCUCAGAGCAAGAGACGAAGAAACGUUGGAGAGCUUCGGUGCGAUGCAGGGCUUGGGAACUGUAGCUGCUUAGCACUUCGAGGACUCAACUUCUUUCAAGCUACUUGA